UUUUUGUAAUAUAACGGAUUUUAAUAUAAAAAUAAAUAUAAAUAAAAAUAGUGUAAGAUACUAUUUUUAUUUGAUUUAAAGAAGUAAAACAUAAGUCAGAAACGACUCGUGCUGAAAUCGGAACGGAAAUAGAAGAUUUAGAAUUUUCUGUUAGAAACGGAGCUGAUAUUCUAGCAGAAAAUGCACAGUAUCAGAAAAUUAUGAAAACUGGGAAUAUAUCGGAAUUAUUUUUAUGAGGCUAGAUUUAAAGUUUCAUGUCAUUCCGACACCCGAAAAGUGAAAAAUAAAAUCCGAUUACUAUCUGCUAGAGAUUUCAGUUUGGUAGAGCUUUCGAUGACCAAAGAUGGUCCAAACUGAAAAGUUAAGAUAUAUUUCGUUUAUUUAGCAAAAACCGAGCCUGACUGUCAAAUUUGAGCGCAAACGAACAUUCAGAAGGGCCGGCGAAAUGUAUCUGUACCUGAGCUGCUAAACUGAAAUAGUGUUGAGGGGUGUUGACUUAUGAAAAUGGGUUUU
This 513-nucleotide long non-coding RNA is filed under the name Ananas comosus (pineapple). RNAcentral describes it as "long non-coding RNA (ACOM_LNC016443)". Lineage: Eukaryota; Viridiplantae; Streptophyta; Magnoliopsida; Poales; Bromeliaceae. The record is from RNAcentral.